AAACUUUCAACAAUGGAUCUCUUGGUUCCGGCAUCGAUGAAGAACGCAGCGAAAUGCGAUAACUAAUGUGAAUUGCAGAAUUCAGUGAAUCAUCGAGUCUUUGAACGCACAUUGCGCCCCCUGGUAUUCCGGGGGGGCAUGCCUGUCCGAGCGUCAUU
RNAcentral lists this ribosomal RNA (158 nucleotides) under Aspergillus terreus. RNAcentral's name for it is "partial 5.8S ribosomal RNA". It matches the Rfam family "5.8S ribosomal RNA". Rfam says of the family: 5.8S ribosomal RNA (5.8S rRNA) is a component of the large subunit of the eukaryotic ribosome. It is transcribed by RNA polymerase I as part of the 45S precursor that also contains 18S and 28S rRNA. Lineage: Eukaryota; Fungi; Ascomycota; Eurotiomycetes; Eurotiales; Aspergillaceae. The record is from RNAcentral.